UGGCUGAGAGGUAAAGCGCUUGGCUUUUGAACCGGGGGUCCCGGGUUCGAAUCCUGG
Molecule: non-coding RNA, 57 nt
Organism: Biomphalaria glabrata
Lineage: Eukaryota; Metazoa; Mollusca; Gastropoda; Planorbidae
Source: Rfam